This 210-nucleotide unclassified non-coding RNA is filed under the name Hevea brasiliensis (rubber tree). Lineage: Eukaryota; Viridiplantae; Streptophyta; Magnoliopsida; Malpighiales; Euphorbiaceae. The record is from RNAcentral.
AAGACUCGAAUGCAGGUUGCACAUUCGCGCUCAAGGGCCAAAGUGACACGAUAACCAGAUGUCCCAAUCCAACAGAUAUGUUUUAGGGGUCCUUUUAUAAAAUAUGAUAGUUCUUCAAGGUAUGUUAUACACGUAUCUACACAGUUUGUCCUUCAAAGCUUGGGCAGAUGAGAAAAAAUCACCUAGUGUUUUAGCCUCCGUUAGGAACUG